This 492-nucleotide ribosomal RNA is filed under the name uncultured bacterium. Its description in RNAcentral is "partial 16S ribosomal RNA". It matches the Rfam family "Bacterial small subunit ribosomal RNA", at positions 29 to 507 of the family's 1533-position model. The record is from RNAcentral.
AGUGAACGCUGGCGGUAGGCCUAACACAUGCAAGUCGAACGGCAGCACAGUAAGAGCUUGCUCUUACGGGUGGCGAGUGGCGGACGGGGGAGGAAUACAUCGGAAUCUACUUUUUCGUGGGGGAUAACGUAGGGAAACUUACGCUAAUACCGCAUACGACCUACGGGUGAAAGCAGGGGAUCUUCGGACCUUGCGCGAGUGAAUGAGCCGAUGUCGGAUUAGCUAGUUGGCGGGGUAAAGGCCCACCAAGGCGACGAUCCGUAGCUGGUCUGAGAGGAUGAUCAGCCACACUGGAACUGUGACACGGUCCAGACUCCUACGGGAGGCAGCAGUGGAGAAUAUUGGACAAUGGGCGCAAGCCUGAUCCAGCCAUACCGCGUGGGUGAAGAAGGCCUUCGGGUUGUAAAGCCCUUUUGUUGGGAAAGAAAAGCAGCAGGUUAAUACCCCGCUGUUCUGACGGUACCCAAAGAAUAAGCACCGGCUAACUUCGUG